ACGAUUAAGCCGGCUUCGGCCGGGUAUAGAGUGGCGAACGGGUGAGUAACACGUGACCAACCUGCCCCUUGCUCCGGGACAACCGCUGGAAACGGCGGCUAAUACCGGAUACUCCGCGGGCCCCGCAUGGGGCCGGCGGGAAAGCCCCGACGGCAAGGGAUGGGGUCGCGGCCCAUUAGGUAGUAGGCGGGGUAACGGCCCACCUAGCCCGCGAUGGGUAGCCGGCCUGAGAGGGCGAUCGGCCACAUUGGGACUGAGAUACGGCCCAGACUCCUACGGGAGGCAGCAGUGGGGAAUUUUGCGCAAUGGGGGAAACCCUGACGCAGCAACGCCGCGUGCGGGAUGACGGCCCUCGGGUUGUAAACCGCUUUCAGCAGGGAAGAUAUUGACGGUACCUGCAGAAGAAGCUCCGGCUAACUACGUGCCAGCAGCCGCGGUAAUACGUAGGGAGCGAGCGUUAUCCGGAUUCAUUGGGCGUAAAGCGCGCGUAGGCGGCUGCCUAAGCGGAACCUCUAACCCCGGGGCUCAACCUCGGGCCGGGUUCCGAACUGGGCGGCUCGAGUGCGGUAGAGGAGAGCGGAAUUCCCGGUGUAGCGGUGGAAUGCG
RNAcentral lists this ribosomal RNA (606 nucleotides) under uncultured bacterium. Its description in RNAcentral is "bacterial SSU rRNA". It matches the Rfam family "Bacterial small subunit ribosomal RNA", at positions 66 to 690 of the family's 1533-position model. The record is from RNAcentral.